This 471-nucleotide ribosomal RNA is filed under the name uncultured bacterium. RNAcentral's name for it is "bacterial SSU rRNA". It matches the Rfam family "Bacterial small subunit ribosomal RNA", at positions 29 to 506 of the family's 1533-position model. The record is from RNAcentral.
ACGAACGCUGGCGGCGUGCCUAACACAUGCAAGUCGAACGGAGAUUAGUGAGAAGUUUACUUUUCAUUAAUUUUAGUGGCGGACGGAUGAGUAACGCGUGGGUAACCUACCUAUAAGAGGGGGACAACAGAGGGAAACUUCUGCUAAUACCGCAUAAAACUAUUGAGACACAUGUUUCGAUAGUCAAAGAUUUAUCGCUUAUAGAUGGACCCGCGUCUGAUUAGCUAAUUGGUAGGGUAACGGCCUACCAAGGCGACGAUCAAUAGCCGGCCUGAGAGGGUGAUCGGCCACACUGGGACUGAGACACGGCCCAAACUCCUACGGGAAGCAGCAGUGGGGAAUCUUCCGCAAUGGGCGCAAGCCUGACGGAGCAACGCCGCGUGAGUGAUGAAGGUUUUCGGAUCGUAAAGCUCUGUCUUCAGGGAAGAAAAAAAUGACGGUACCUGAGGAGGAAGCCCCGGCUAACUACGU